GACAUUAGCUUGUUGGUAAGGUAACGGCUUACCAAGGCUGCGAUGUCUAGGGGGUCUGAGAGGACUAUCCCCCACACUGGUACUGAGACACGGACCAGACUCCUACGGGAGGCAGCAGUGAGGAAUAUUGCGCAAUGGAGGAAACUCUGACGCAGCCAUGCCGCGUGCAGGAAUAAGGCCCUAUGGGUUGUAAACUGCUUUUAUACGGGAAGAAAUAUAUCUACGUGUAGAUAUUUGACGGUACCGUACGAAUAAGGAUCGGCUAACUCCGUGCCAGCAGCCGCGGUAAUACGGAGGAUCCAAGCGUUAUCCGGAUUUAUUGGGUUUAAAGGGUCCGCAGGCGGGAAAUUAAGUCAGUGGUGAAAUCCUACAGCUUAACUGUAGAACUGCCAUUGAUACUGGUUUUCUUGAGUACACCUGAAGUGGGCGGAAUGUGUCAUGUAGCGGUGAAAUGCUUACAUAUGACACAGAACACCGAUUGCGAAGGGCAGCUCACUAAAGUGUCACUG
RNAcentral lists this ribosomal RNA (509 nucleotides) under uncultured Bacteroidota bacterium. Its description in RNAcentral is "bacterial SSU rRNA". It matches the Rfam family "Bacterial small subunit ribosomal RNA", at positions 237 to 742 of the family's 1533-position model. Lineage: Bacteria; Pseudomonadati; Bacteroidota. The record is from RNAcentral.